Molecule: antisense RNA, 509 nt
Filed under: Allostreptomyces psammosilenae
Lineage: Bacteria; Bacillati; Actinomycetota; Actinomycetes; Kitasatosporales; Streptomycetaceae
Description: Saccharopolyspora sRNA 350
Rfam family: Saccharopolyspora sRNA 350
Source: Rfam by way of RNAcentral
UUGAUGCUGUAGGCCCAGGUGCUGGCCGGCCCGGUGAGCGUCUCGUCGCCGAAGUGUUCGCCGUCGGCGAGGACGCCGAGGACGGUGAGGUCGUCGUACUUUCCGGUGCCGAGUUUGUUGAGUUUGCCGUGGGCGAUGAGGUAGACGCGGUCGGCGCUCUGGCCGGCUUCGACGAUGACGUCGCCUGCGGAGUACUCGUGUUGGGUGAAUCGGUCGGCGAGGGUUUCGAGUACGGCGGUGUCGGUGAAUCCGCGGAGGAUGGGGAGUUCGCCGAGUUCCGGGGGGAUGACGCGUACUUCGCUGCCGGUGUUGGAGAAGGUGAUGCGUCCGUCUCCGACGGUGUAGGUGAGUCGGCGGUUGACCCGGUAGGUUCCGCCGGAGACCUGUACCCAGGGCAGUACGCGCAGCAGCCAGCGCGAGGAGAUGCCCUGCAUCUGCGGGACGGACUUCGUCGUCGUCGACAGAUUGCGUGCCGCCGCCGUGCCCAGGCUCAACUGGGCCCGCCCCUC